This 544-nucleotide ribosomal RNA is filed under the name uncultured Glomeromycotina. RNAcentral describes it as "SSU rRNA". It matches the Rfam family "Eukaryotic small subunit ribosomal RNA", at positions 548 to 1098 of the family's 1831-position model. Lineage: Eukaryota; Fungi; Glomeromycota. The record is from RNAcentral.
UUGGAGGGCAAGUCUGGUGCCAGCAGCCGCGGUAAUUCCAGCUCCAAUAGCGUAUAUUAAAGUUGUUGCAGUUAAAAAGCUCGUAGUUGAAUUUCGGGGUUCUACCGUUGGUCGGGCUUUGUCUGUACUGGUGUGUAGAAUUUCUACCUUCUGGGGAACCAUCAUGCUAUUAAUUUAGCGUGGUGGGAAACCAGGACCUUUACCUUGAAAAAAUUAGUGUGUUCAAAGCAGGCUUAUGUCUGAAUACAUUAGCGUGGAAUAAUAGAAUAAGACGGUGGUCCUGUUUUGUUGGUUUCUGAAUCACCGUAAUGAUUAAUAGGGAUAGUUGGGGGCAUUAGUAUUCAAUUGUCAGAGGUGAAAUUCUUGGAUUUAUUGAAGACUAACUUCUGCGAAAGCAUUUGCCAAGGAUGUUUUCAUUAAUCAAGAACGAAAGUUAGGGGAUCGAAGACGAUUAGAUACCGUCGUAGUCUUAACCAUAAACUAUGCCGACUAGGGAUCGGACGAUGUUAAUUUUUCUUGACUCGUUCGGCGCCUUACGGGAAAC